This 38-nucleotide ribosomal RNA is filed under the name Draperia systyla. Its description in RNAcentral is "partial 26S ribosomal RNA". The record is from RNAcentral. Lineage: Eukaryota; Viridiplantae; Streptophyta; Magnoliopsida; Boraginales; Hydrophyllaceae.
GCGACCCCAGGUCAGGCGGRAUUACCCGCUGAGUUUAA